AGCGAACGCUAGCGGCGGGCUUAACACAUGCAAGUCGAGCGGAGGGUUUCGGCCCUCAGCGGCGAACGGGUGAGUAACACGUAGGUAACGUACCUUUUGGUGGGGAAUAACCUAGGGAAACCUGGGCUAAUACCGCAUAUGCCCGUAAGGGUGAAAGUCUUCGGACGCCAGAAGAUCGGCCUGCGGCCCAUUAUUUAAUCCUAGUUGGUAGGGUAACGGCCUACCAAGGGUACGAUGGGUAGCUGGUCUGAGAGGAUGAUCAGCCACACUGGAACUGAGACACGGUCCAGACUCCUACGGGAGGCAGCAGUGGGGAAUAUUGGACAAUGGGCGCAAGCCUGAUCCAGCCACGCCGCGUGGGUGAUGAAGGCCUUCGGGUUGUAAAGCCCUGUCGGAGGGGACGAAGUCCGCAAGGAUUGACGGUACCUUCCAAGAAAGCACCGGCUAACUCCGUG
RNAcentral lists this ribosomal RNA (455 nucleotides) under uncultured organism. Its description in RNAcentral is "bacterial SSU rRNA". It matches the Rfam family "Bacterial small subunit ribosomal RNA", at positions 29 to 507 of the family's 1533-position model. The record is from RNAcentral.